RNA transcript from Prosopis cineraria, 3869 nucleotides. It is a transcript of the gene named probable splicing factor 3A subunit 1, with no coding region annotated. The transcript is spliced from 5 exons. NCBI's taxonomy places the organism in Eukaryota, Viridiplantae, Streptophyta, Magnoliopsida, Fabales, Fabaceae. The record is from RefSeq and is a predicted model, not a curated record.
GCUCUCGUUCUUUUCACUUCAUUUUUCUUCUUCAAUUCGACUGCCUCUCAAUCUUCCGUGCCCCCCACUACCGUGGCUUGGCCGCCGUGAAGGCGAAAGCGUAAACGUCGGUGGUUCUCCUUGACACUCUUCCCCGUCUCUCGUUGUUGUUCCUUGAGUUUGCAGGUUGGUUUCGAUAGUUAGCGCCUAGCUGUAUGACCUAAUGUUGGGUUCAUUACCGAUAUUGCCUCUUCCUGCUCCUCCUUCUGAUGGAAACCUAGGUCCUCUUCCUGAGUCGCAAGUGUCUGAGGAGAGGGAGGAUGAGAAGUUGUCUAAGGAGGAGCAGAACAAAUCGAAUUCGACGUCAGUUGCUACACACACUAGAACUAUCGGAAUUAUACAUCCCCCUCCUGACAUUAGAACUAUUGUCGAUAAAACAGCCCAGUUCGUUGCUAAAAAUGGGCCAGAAUUUGAGAAAAGGAUCAUUGCAAAUAACACAGGCAAUGUUAAGUUCAAUUUUCUGAAUUCAUCGGAUCCAUAUCAUGCAUAUUAUCAACAUCGGCUGGCAGAAUUUCGUGCCCAAAACCAAUCUUCUACCCUGCAAUCUCCUUCGCAACCUGUAGAUUCGGCUUUGUCUGAAUCGACCUUAUCUGCACCGGCCUCUGACAGUAAUGAUGCAGCAGCUGCUGCUGCAGCAGCAACAAAGCCCGAGCUCUCUUCUCAGUUUAAGCCUGUAAGGAAAGUACUUGAACCCCCUGAAGCUGAGCAGUAUACAGUUCGGCUUCCUGAAGGCAUUACAGGGGAAGAGCUGGAUAUCAUAAAGCUCACAGCACAAUUUGUGGCUCGAAAUGGAAAAUCAUUUUUGACUGGGUUGACCAGUAGGGAGGUCAAUAACCCUCAAUUCCAUUUCUUGAAACCGACCCACAGCAUGUUUACAUUUUUCACCUCUCUUGCGGAUGCAUAUUCCAAGGUUUUGAUGCCUCCGAAGGGGUUGACGGAGAAGCUGAGGAGAAGUGUUUCUGACAUGACUACUGUCCUUGAACGGUGUGUGAACAGGCUGGAAUGGGAGCGCUCACAGGAGCAAGCUCGGCAAAAGGCUGAGGAUGAAAUAGAGCAGGAAAGAAUGCAAAUGGCAAUGAUAGAUUGGCAUGAUUUUGUAGUGGUUGAAACAAUAGAUUUUGCUGAUGAUGAGGAUAAGGAGCUGCCUCCCCCAAUGACCCUUGAGGAGGUUAUAAGGAGAAGCAAGGUUUCACCCAUGGAAGAAGAUAUAGUUGAACCUGAAAAGGAAGUUGAAAUGGAAAUGGAUGAGGAAGAGGCCCAGCUUGUCGAAGAGGGCAUGAGGGCAGCUAGUUUGGAAGACAAUGAUGAUGGGAAGAAAGGUGGAGUUAAUGUUACAGAGGAGCCUGAACCACCUAUGAGGAUUGUGAAAAACUGGAAAAGACCAGAGGAAAGGAUUCCUGCAGAAAGAGAUCCAACAAAGUAUGUUGUUUCCCCAAUUACUGGUGAGCUAAUUCCGAUUAAUGAAAUGUCUGAACAUAUGCGAAUUUCUCUCAUUGAUCCCAAGUACAAAGAACAAAAAGAAAGGAUGUUUGCCAAAAUUCGUGAGACAACACUGGCUCAGGAUGAUGAAAUCUCAAGAAACAUUGUUGGACUUGCACGGACCCGUCCUGAUAUCUUUGGUACUACUGAAGAAGAGGUCUCCAAUGCUGUGAAGGCAGAAAUUGAGAAGAAGAAAGAUGAGCAGCCUAAGCAGGUUAUAUGGGAUGGUCACACUGGUAGCAUAGGACGAACUGCAAACCAAGCCAUGUCACAGAGUUUUGGCGGCGAGGAUCAAAAUAGUGUCGCCAAUAAUGAAGCUAAGAACCUUCCUGGCCCUGCCGCACCUCCUCCUAGACCUGGUAUGCCUUCAGUUCGUCCUCUUCCACCACCACCUGGACUGGCAUUGAAUCUUCCCCGCGUUCCACCUCCCACAGUUCAGUAUUCUGCCCCAACCAGUGGUGGUCUUCCAGUUCCUCCUCCAAGACCUUCAGUAGUUCCCAUUAUGCCAACCAUGCAUCCAGCUCCUCAUCCAAUGCCAAUGUCUUCUGGGCAGCAAACAUUCAUGUCCAGUCAGCAACCUCCAUUGCCUUCAUCGGUUGCUGUGAAUGGACCAGGGAUGCCUGUUCCUCCACCCCCGGGUUCUCAAUUCACUCCUGUUUCAGUUCCUCGACCUUACGCCCCUCUUCCUAUGCCUCCACCUGGGAUGCCUAUGAUGCCUCCACCACCUUUGCCUCAAGGAUUGCCGCCCCCACCGCCACCUGAGGAAGCUCCUCCUCCGCUCCCAGAAGAACCAGAGCCAAAGAAGCAGAAGCUUGAUGAUUGUGCUCUAAUCCCAGAAGAGCAGUUUCUGGCUCAACAUCCGGGGCCAGUUCGUAUCUGUGUAUCAGUUCCUAAUGUUGAUGAAGGAAAUCUCAGAGGACAAGUUCUGGAGAUUACUAUGCAAUCUCUGUCUGAAACAGUUGGCAGUCUGAAGGAGAAAAUUGCUGGGGAGAUCCAGCUCCCUGCCAACAAACAGAAAUUGAGUGGAAAACCAGGGUUUCUCAAGGAUAAUAUGUCACUUGCUUAUUACAACGUUGGAGGAGGAGAGGUGCUCUCUCUCACAUUAAGAGAGCGUGGUGGUAGAAGGAGAUGAGUUGAUACUUGCCUAUCUGUUCAAGGUUGUUGUUGGAGCUUUUUCCUUAUGAUGGGGCAUAUAAUUUAUCAUAAUAUUCUUGAACUCUGAUGCUUUAUUAAUGUUGGUGACUUUAUGUGUACUUUAGUAUUACAAGGUUUCAGGAUCUUAUUAUUAUUUGGCAAGAUUGAUGUUAACUGUGGAAUACUGAUUUUGGCUCCUAGGCCUCAUCUGUUGUGAGCAGUGGGAAGUAUGCAGUUCCUUUUAUAUGAUUAAGUCAAAUAUUUACACCAUUAAUUAUGAUUUUCUUUUGGAUUUCAUUUGAUUCCGUGCAGAUUUACUUGAUUGUUUAUGUUAGAACUCUUCUGCAGUCAGGGAGGGGCCAUGUAGAUUUAUGCUUUUCUAUGGUGUUUUUCAUUUUUAGUGUUGUUUCAAAUUUUAAGGGGAUGCGGUGAUUUAGGUUCUUCUUUCUUCCUCUUCUAGUGUUUAGGUCGUCUUAUAUUGGAUAUGCUCAUACACCAGCACAGUUGAAUGGUUGAUUUGGUUGGAGGACCUUUUAGUUGAUGAGCUUAUGCACCUUUAGCUGGUGCUUCGUGUUUGGGGUUAUUGGGACAUUCUACAUGGACUUUUGGGAAGGGCUGUUCAGCUUAGCUGAUUUAUCUGUGAAUGGGAUGAGGAAGUUUGUGCCUCCUAAUUUUUGCAGCAUGGAGCAGGUUUGGUUUCAUCAUUUUGGGGGUAUUUUGGAAAAAUUAUGGGCAAGGUCACUUGCUGUUUUUCUUGGUUAGAUUGAGUUGAUUAUGUUAAAUCUUAAAUCUUGUCCUGCUAUUGUUUGAAAGUUGCUUUGUCUUUCUACUGGGUCGAGUCUUUGCUCUUGAAUUCUUAAGAGGGUCAGUAUGAUCCAUUAGACCCGCUUUUGUCUUUAUGCUUUUCUGUGCAUGUGAUUUCGUGCCCCAUUAGGUCUCAAGUGAUCCUUCUUUUGAUUAACCAAGUUUUGUCAUGGAACCAGAGGACCACUGCAUUGAUGGCUGAAGGUUAAAGCAAAACGCAAGUGAUAAGAAACAGAGAUGGAGGGGAAUGGAUUAUUUCCAUGCAUAUUGGUCCGCGACUGCGUGCAUUGCGUUCCAUAUACAGAAAAUCAAGCCCGAUCAUUCAUUACUAAUUUGAGUCAAACUGUAUGACUAACUGAUUGUUAGCUGGAUAACCAAUUAUUCUAAUCCCAAUGUUAGCCAUUCACUUAUUA